GCCUGGGUGGCUCAGUCAGUUAAGCAUCUGACUUCGGCUCAGGUCAUGAUCUCAUGGUUCGUGGGUUCGAGCCCCGCGUCGGGCU
RNAcentral lists this transfer RNA (85 nucleotides) under Crocuta crocuta (spotted hyena). It matches the Rfam family "tRNA". Rfam says of the family: Transfer RNA (tRNA) molecules are approximately 80 nucleotides in length. Lineage: Eukaryota; Metazoa; Chordata; Mammalia; Carnivora; Hyaenidae. RNAcentral also lists the same sequence under 1 other name. The record is from Rfam by way of RNAcentral.